This 864-nucleotide ribosomal RNA is filed under the name Enterococcus sp. F155. RNAcentral describes it as "bacterial SSU rRNA". It matches the Rfam family "Bacterial small subunit ribosomal RNA", at positions 50 to 885 of the family's 1533-position model. Lineage: Bacteria; Bacillati; Bacillota; Bacilli; Lactobacillales; Enterococcaceae. The record is from RNAcentral.
CUAUCAUGCAAGUCGAACGCUUCUUUCUUAUCGAACUUCGGUUCACCAAGAAAGAAGAGUGGCGGACGGGUGAGUAACACGUGGGUAACCUGCCCUUUAGCGGGGGAUAACACUUGGAAACAGGUGCUAAUACCGCAUAAUCUUUUUUCUCGCAUGAGAAAAAAGUGAAAGACGCUUUUGCGUCACUAAAGGAUGGACCCGCGCUGCAUUAGCUAGUUGGUGAGGUAACGGCUCACCAAGGCCACGAUGCAUAGCCGACCUGAGAGGGUGAUCGGCCACACUGGGACUGAGACACGGCCCAGACUCCUACGGGAGGCAGCAGUAGGGAAUCUUCGGCAAUGGACGAAAGUCUGACCGAGCAACGCCGCGUGAGUGAAGAAGGUUUUCGGAUCGUAAAACUCUGUUGUUAGAGAAGAAUAAGGAUGAGAGUAGAAAGUUCAUCCCUUGACGGUAUCUAACCAGAAAGCCACGGCUAACUACGUGCCAGCAGCCGCGGUAAUACGUAGGUGGCAAGCGUUGUCCGGAUUUAUUGGGCGUAAAGCGAGCGCAGGCGGUUUCUUAAGUCUGAUGUGAAAGCCCCCGGCUUAACCGGGGAGGGUCAUUGGAAACUGGGAGACUUGAGUGCAGAAGAGGAGAGUGGAAUUCCAUGUGUAGCGGUGAAAUGCGUAGAUAUAUGGAGGAACACCAGUGGCGAAGGGCGACUCUCUGGUCUGUAACUGACGCUGAGGCUCGAAAGCGUGGGGAGCGAACAGGAUUAGAUACCCUGGUAGUCCACGCCGUAAACGAUGAGUGCUAAGUGUUGGAGGGUUUCCGCCCUUCAGUGCUGCAGCAAACGCAUUAAGCACUCCGCCUGGGGGAGUACGG